GAGUUAGUGAAGGACAGGGAAGCCUGGCAUGCUGCAGUCCAUGGGGGUCUCAAAGAGUCGGACACAACUGAGCAACUGAACUGAACUGAAGAAUAAAAUGAUAAUAAACAGACAUCAUGUGUCUCCAGCAGUCAUGUGGUUAUCCUCACUAACUUCUUUGCCACCGUCCCUCACAGCAGCAGGUCAGACCCUUAUCCUCCCUGGGUUCCCAUGAGGACUGGUGUGAGUGAUGGUGUAAAGUGCAAGGGCAGCGACAAGCAGAGGGGCACAUGGAGUGACUUCGGUCAGGAGGCCGUCGUGGUGGCCUCCGCGGGCCUCUCUGCUGAUCCUGCCCUGACUCACCCACUAAGGCCUCUCUCUGGAUGGCUCUUGUGCUUUCCCAGGCCCCAGCCUUCUCUUCUGUCCUGAGGAAGAAUUCCAAGACUCUCAAGAAUAGAAGAGAUUUUAGAGGCCGUCCCACCCAACAUCCUCUUGGAUGGACAGGGCUUAGAUUUCCCAGCUGCUGCUUGUGCACGCAGGACAGGGCGCUUGCUAUUUCUGGAGGCCCCCUGUUUGUUGGGGGGACAGUUUUAGGGACAUGUGGGUAUUGAGCUGAAUCUGUGAAUUCUAUCCUUUGGCUCUCCCAGGAGCCCCCUCAGUCCCUUUGGAGAGGUGAACUGGCUGGCCCCUGCUACCCCCUUCUCCCCUUCCCUGGCCCUGUAGCCUCCCUCCCUCUGGUCCUUGGCCCUGGUCCUCCAGUUCUCAGUCUGGAUUCCUGGGGGAGCCCCACUAGAAUGAGAGCUUUGCCAUGGCCCCAGGCCCCAGUCACCCCUGGGGUGACUCUUGAACUUUUCUUUUUUUGUUAUAAAAGUUGUUAACUUGCUUUGGUUCUCAAGUUGAAUAAAAGGCAUCAAGCA
This is a long non-coding RNA of Cervus elaphus (red deer), 896 nucleotides long. RefSeq lists it as uncharacterized. NCBI's taxonomy places the organism in Eukaryota, Metazoa, Chordata, Mammalia, Artiodactyla, Cervidae. The record is from RefSeq and is a predicted model, not a curated record. The transcript is spliced from 2 exons.